UAAUACUUGAUACUAACCAAGCUGUCUAUUCCCUAGCCUGUGUCAAAGGCUUGUGAUGUGUUGUGAUAGCUGGGUUUAAACAGUGCAAUAUUAAAACGAAAGCCAUGAGUCUUUUAAGCUCAGUGUGUAAAGUCACACUCUGAGUUAUAGCUCAAAGGUACAACU
This 165-nucleotide small nucleolar RNA is filed under the name Propithecus coquereli (Coquerel's sifaka). RNAcentral's name for it is "Small Cajal body specific RNA 1 (ENSPCOG00000007326.1)". It matches the Rfam family "Small Cajal body specific RNA 1". Rfam says of the family: scaRNAs are a specific class of small nuclear RNAs which localise to the Cajal bodies and guide the modification of RNA polymerase II transcribed spliceosomal RNAs U1, U2, U4, U5 and U12. The record is from Rfam by way of RNAcentral. Lineage: Eukaryota; Metazoa; Chordata; Mammalia; Primates; Indriidae.